RNAcentral lists this non-coding RNA (26 nucleotides) under Homo sapiens (human). The record is from RNAcentral. Lineage: Eukaryota; Metazoa; Chordata; Mammalia; Primates; Hominidae.
UGAGCCGCUCUAGAGGAGACCCCUGC